Long non-coding RNA from Drosophila miranda, 519 nucleotides. RefSeq lists it as uncharacterized. The transcript has 2 exons. Lineage: Eukaryota; Metazoa; Arthropoda; Insecta; Diptera; Drosophilidae. The record is from RefSeq and is a predicted model, not a curated record.
AUUUCUCAAAAAUUGGCCUCAUUUUCGAAGUCGAGGUUUUGCUGCCGUUCGACAGUCUGGAUCCUCGCGAUCCUAGGAGAGUUGGUUCUUCAACGAUUAGGCCCCAAUUGUCCGGGAUAUAGCCUUACGAAGAUUGGGAUUUGCAUACCAUUAAAAUAGGCCAUAGUCAUGAUUCCACUGCUGUGCCGCUGAGUCGACAAGGUGGCGUGCCGUCCGCUGCAGCAGCGACCAGAGAUCGACAGCAAUCAAACGCUGGGCUAUAGCUUUGAAACGCAGGUCUUCUGUACCCCACGCAUUGCCACAAAAGGAGUCGUAUCCGAUUUCAUCCCUCGACCUGGCCAUCGAUAACAAGGACUUUGACUAGGACUACCAAGGGAAGAACACUCUAGAUAUAUCGUGUUGUUGUUAGGUUUAAGGAUAUACGCGUUCAUAUAUUUAGAUAGUAGUCAAAAAUGUUUUCCACUUGUUUAAAUAUUUAUACUUAGCUAAGUUAUGAUGAAUAAAACUUUUGAAAAAUUA